This 497-nucleotide ribosomal RNA is filed under the name uncultured bacterium. Its description in RNAcentral is "partial 16S ribosomal RNA". It matches the Rfam family "Bacterial small subunit ribosomal RNA", at positions 28 to 507 of the family's 1533-position model. The record is from RNAcentral.
GAUGAACGCUGGCGGCGUGCCUAAUACAUGCAAGUCGAGCGAACGGACGAGAAGCUUGCUUCUCUGAUGUUAGCGGCGGACGGGUGAGUAACACGUGGAUAACCUACCUAUAAGACUGGGAUAACUUCGGGAAACCGGAGCUAAUACCGGAUAAUAUUUUGAACCGCAUGGUUCAAAAGUGAAAGACGGUCUUGCUGUCACUUAUAGAUGGAUCCGCGCUGCAUUAGCUAGUUGGUAAGGUAACGGCUUACCAAGGCAACGAUGCAUAGCCGACCUGAGAGGGUGAUCGGCCACACUGGAACUGAGACACGGUCCAGACUCCUACGGGAGGCAGCAGUAGGGAACCUUCCGCAAUGGGCGAAAGCCUGACGGAGCAACGCCGCGUGAGUGAUGAAGGUCUUCGGAUCGUAAAACUCUGUUAUUAGGGAAGAACAUAUGUGUAAGUAACUGUGCACGUCUUGACGGUACCUAAUCAGAAAGCCACGGCUAACUACGUG